Molecule: long non-coding RNA, 2121 nt
Organism: Cairina moschata (Muscovy duck)
Lineage: Eukaryota; Metazoa; Chordata; Aves; Anseriformes; Anatidae
Source: Ensembl
AUGGAAUUAAUUACAAUGUUUUGUCUUGCUCAGGUGUCGUCUGCCCAGCGGCUGCAGACACCCCCAGCCGGGCUCUCCCCGUGCUCCCUGGAAGGACACAAUGACAGCGCACCCAAGCUGGCUGCAGAAGCCCAGCGUGGCACAGGAACAGCACUGCGUGUGCCUGGGCUGCCAGGACUUGCCCUGCGCGUGGGCAGGUUUGCAGGGCCUCACCAAAUCAGCAGGCUCCCUUUUGAUAUGGUCCAUACAUUCCCUGGCGGGCAGAUGUGUGGCCCUGUCAUAAACCAAUUCCCUUCAAAUGAGCUGAGGCUGCAGCAGGGCACCUGGGUACCGACGGUCCCAUGGGGACAUGACUUACUGGUCAGUACUUUUCCAGUCCCACAUAACUUCUUCAGGUGUGUGUGAUGAUGUGCCCUGACUGGAGGUGUAGCAGUAAAUAGGCUAUAGGGCCUUUCAGGACACCGGGCAUUUUCUCUUAGUCAGAUAGUUAUCAGUAUCACACAGAAGUAAGGUCAGCUCAUGUUGCAAAGAUUUUUGGUAACAGAACUUGUUAUUUUAUUUGUGCCAGGCCUUGGAGCUACUUUAAUACAGUAACAAAACUGUAAAUAAUCAUGAGUGAAAAUGUCAUUUUUUUUCCUCCUCUUUACGAUUUCCUUUUGGUUUGGUGUGGGCAUUCCCUGGUACACAGAUAACGUGUCCCUGACAUGUUUAAAAUAAUCACGAAAGACCCUGACGAGGAGCAGCCCAAAACCUGCUUUACUGCAGAUGCAUGAGGAGCAUCGAUCUGGCUCCAGCCCAGAGCUCCAUGACAUGCAGAAGUGGGAAGGGAGCCAUGCAGGUAGCACGUUCUGAGCUACGUAAAUGCUGUUAAGGCUUCUAGUUUUUUGAGAUGCAAAACUUGAAGGAAAGCUUGCUAUUUUAUUUAUGUUUUUAAUCUCUUUAAAAUAUGUUCAUAUGCCUCUGGGAAACCUCCAUCAUAUACACCUCUUCUCCUUUUCCUUGUUUCCACAGUGCUCAAAAUCAUCUCCUCCAAAGGUAAACCUUUCAGUGAACACUGGAAUAAAAUGGAAGGUCUGCGUUGUGCUACUGUUCAGACUUGGCUUUGAAGAGUCUAAGCUCAUGUCCUCAAAAGAAAGCCCACGAUUUUUUGAGGCUCUUUUACAUCCCAUCAAAAUUCAUGUUUCACCUCAAGCCCCAGUAAGUUAGCUAGAGCAAUAUUUCCUCAUUCAUAGGGUAAUACUUAGCCUUUUACGUUGUCCUCACUGCCAUGUUGUGCUGUUAAGGGCAAAAAGCAUUGCUUAAUACCUUCUAACAACAAUUGAGUCUAUUUUUAAACACAAAUAUGUUUCUGUUCUGCACUGCCCAUUGCUGGGGCAUUUUCAGACUGCGAAGCCUUACCUCUUCUAGGUUACCAGCUGUCUUUCUCAUGGCAAACCUACCACAACUAUUUCAUAAGCUAAAUAUAAUGGUGAACCCAUGCAAACAUCAGGGUCAAUUUUCAAUCACAUUUUGUUCUCCCCAAAGCAGAAAAUGCUUGUUGCUUGGAAGUUGAUCUUGGAAAUCAUUCAAGUGCUCUCUGAGGUUUUCAGAGAUGUCUGUUCUGAGGAGAUACCAAAUGUGCACACGUGGGCCCCACACAGCUGACGAAUGUGCACCUGAUGACUUCCCGUGCUCGCUGCGCCAGAGUCAAGCAGCUGUAGGACUGAGACUUGGGGUGUAACAGUGAGCAAAAGCUUCAGGUAAGACAUUUAUCAGCUUUUACUCAUCUGCCGGUAGCACGUAUCGCUACGUUCAUAUCCCACGUGGAUAACCUGGAUCUAGUGUCUUCCACUCUCUGUAACUCCUCAGCUCAAAAUUAACAUAGAGCAAGAAUUAUUAUUUUUGAAUGGUGGAAAUAGUACAAAAAGUCUGCAUAUAACUAACAGCCAGCCACUUUAGCAGCACAACACUGGAUCUGUGCGUAUCACUUCUCUGUGUGUGUUCGGGCUGAAAUGAGAUACAGAAAGGUUUCCAGUUGGCUACGUCGCUGUAGUGCUGUGUGAGACACGUAGAGGUACCGUAAGGUCCCUGCUGCAUCCGCGCCUCCCCCAGGGCUUUAGGGCUGCUUCAGCAGAGGCACUG